CUUCAGAUGUGAGGUCUCGACCAGAUAAAAAUAUCAAAAGAUUAAAAAAAUCCUUAUGUGUGUACCAGGCUUUGGCUUAACUCCUUACAGACAUAAUUAUGCUCCGCCCACACUUAACUGCUGCAGUUUGUGGAGUGGCUCGGCGCCAUUACCUGCUUGAAGUUCUUCGUUACAUGUACAUGCAGCUGAAACGUUAUUGAGAAAUUUUGCCUGCCACCAGAAGCAAAUGUUACAUACAAAGAUGCAACAGGCACAGAAAUAGAUGAGGAAAUAUUCAGCGACCUUGUUGGACAAGGCAACGUGGUGCUGACUGCUUUCCCGAACGAUGAGUUUUCUGAGACCUCGUUCUCUGCAUCUGAUACAUCUGACUCGAGCUUCAGUUCUGGUGCAUCAACAAUAAUCCUUGAUGAUCUCCCUAAUAAAAAACAAAGAACUCAAGAUACAGCUAAUGCUGUGGCUGCCAAACAGUUGGUGGAAAUGUCCUUAAAACCAAGUCCGGUGGUGAAGAAGUUCUCCGGGAGUACGAAGAAACAGAAACUCUGACUGAUGCCACACGAAGACAAAUGGUUAACAUAUUGGUGGCUCACAUGACUGAUGCACAUGGACAUCACCCUUCUAAAACUAUCAGGGAGCAAUACGCUCUUGGAAUAGUGAUGCUGUUUACCUCGCUCAAGGAUCCAUAUUCCCAAAAAGGCUAUGAACAUUUCUAUGAUGCUGCAAACAACACAGGAUACAUUGCUUGGCGUUUGAAAACGGUCCAAAGAAAGAUUCAUCGUGGCUCCACUGCACCACCAAGUAGUCCCGCGGAUGGUUCUCCUGGAGGCCCAAAAUGCCAGAGGAUUACAAAUGUUGAAGGACAGCUUGAUAGUGAUGCUUGUCAAGAGGCCAUGUCUUUGCUCAACCAUACCACAGACAAGUCUCUGAUUUUCCAGAUGAUGAGAAAGACCUUUCAGCAUCAUCAGAAACUUGUUAAUGAUCCAGGCAGAACUGUUGAUAUCCUUUCUAUCUUCUAAGAUUCUUGGAAACAA
Melanotaenia boesemani (Boeseman's rainbowfish) is the source of this 1028-nucleotide long non-coding RNA. RefSeq lists it as uncharacterized. The transcript has 6 exons. NCBI's taxonomy places the organism in Eukaryota, Metazoa, Chordata, Actinopteri, Atheriniformes, Melanotaeniidae. The record is from RefSeq and is a predicted model, not a curated record.